UCGAGGAUCUUCGGCAAUGGGCGAAAGCCUGACCGAGCGACGCCGCGUGUGCGAUGAAGGCCUUCUGGUUGUAAAGCACUGUCGAGGGGGAGCAAGCCGUAAGGUUGAGAGUACCCCUGGAGGAAGCACGGGCUAAGUUCGUGCCAGCAGCCGCGGUAAGACGAACCGUGCGAACGUUAUUCGGAAUCACUGGGCUUAAAGGGCGCGUAGGCGGGUGAAUAAGUCGAGGGUGAAAGCCUCUAGCUCAACUAGAGAAGUGCCCUCGAAACUGUUUGUCUUGAGAGAGAUAGGGGCACACGGAACUUCCGGUGGAGCGGUGAAAUGCGUAGAGAUCGGAAGGAACGCCGGUGGCGAAAGCGGUGUGCUGGAUCUUUUCUGACGCUGAGGCGCGAAAGCUAGG
This 400-nucleotide ribosomal RNA is filed under the name uncultured bacterium. RNAcentral's name for it is "bacterial SSU rRNA". It matches the Rfam family "Bacterial small subunit ribosomal RNA", at positions 355 to 764 of the family's 1533-position model. The record is from RNAcentral.